This is a long non-coding RNA of Oncorhynchus tshawytscha (Chinook salmon), 1109 nucleotides long. Lineage: Eukaryota; Metazoa; Chordata; Actinopteri; Salmoniformes; Salmonidae. The record is from Ensembl.
CCCUGCCGUAAAUGACAGGGGAGAGAGCAGGAGAGAGACAGGGAGAGAGAAACAAGCAGCUCAACUUUAGAGAUUUCAUCCUUCUCAGUUGAGCUCUCUUCUGUCUCUCUGUCUCCAUGCACUGAUGACUUCUGAAACCUCUUUUCUCUUUAUCAUCAUGGGUCCUGCCUCACUGAGAGAUAUCCCUGGCUGUGUUUCAUAAGUGUGUGUGUGUGUGUGUGUGUGUGUGUGUGUGUGUGUGUGCUGACUUGUUUUCAUAUCCUGUUUUCAGACCAGAAUGUCCUGACAAGACAGGAAACAAAUGUAAAUUCUGAAAAGUCAGGACAUUUUGCGUGUAAUUUCAGGUUUAAGGGUUAGGUUUGGGGUUAAGGUUAGGGUUAGGAGUUAGGUUUAGGGUUAAGGUUAGGAGUUAUGUUUAGGGUUUGGGGUUAGGGGUAGGAGUUAGGUUUAGGGUUAAGGUUAGGAGUUAUGUUUAGGGUUUGGUGUUAGGGGUAGGAGUUAGAUUUAGGGUUUGGUUUAGGGUUAAAGUGGAACUGACAGCGUUCCAACUACUUUGCAUCUAUGAAACAGACCAUCAUAAUAUCAGUCAAAAAUAUAAAAUUCCCAGUUUAUGCUACAAACCAACUUAAUGUGAGGUUUUAAAAAUAGAUUCUAUUUGACUCAGCAUUCCAUGAUGUACACUAAGACAUUGUUGGCAGAAUAGAUGGAUGCAGUUCUAUGCAUGAUUCAUAUAAUUCACCAGUACAUGUGUUGAUAGUCCAGAAGAUAUGACCAUCAGGUUGUAACACAGCUGGCCUGGUAUGUUGUUUGCUGCCUCCAUUCAGGAUGCACUGUUUCAGUUUCAACGACUCAAUAUUUUAGACAAUAACGAACGAAUGUAACUAAAGGUGGGAAUACAAUCAAUACAAUCAAACUAGCAAGGGCAAUGAUCACAAGUCAGUCAUAACCUGGCUAAAAGGGUAGCGUAUCUAUUUAUGUAGCAAGCUAAAAACACAGAGCCUAACUUUAGCUAGCUGCUAGUUCGGCGGUCGACGUCCGGUUUUCUAGCCAUCGCCAAUCCACCUUUCAUUUUUCCAUUUGUCUUGUCUUGUUUUCCUACACACCUGGUU